GGGAAUUUUGGGCAAUGGGCGAAAGCCUGACCCAGCAACGCCGCGUGAGGGAUGAAGUAUUUCGGUAUGUAAACCUCGAAAGAAUGGGGAGAAUAAAUGACGGUACCAUUUAUAAGCUCCGGCUAACUACGUGCCAGCAGCCGCGGUAAUACGUAGGGAGCAAGCGUUGUUCGGAUUUACUGGGCGUAAAGGGCGCGUAGGCGGCGCGGUAAGUCACUUGUGAAAUCUCUGAGCUUAACUCAGAACGGCCAAGUGAUACUGCUGUGCUAGAGUGCGGAAGAGGCAACCGGAAUUCUUGGUGUAGCGGUGAAAUGCGUAGAUAUCAAGAGGAACACCUGAGGCGAAGGCGGGUUGCUGGGCCGACACUGACGCUGAUGCGCGAAAGCCAGGGGAGCAAACG
Molecule: ribosomal RNA, 400 nt
Filed under: uncultured bacterium
Lineage: Bacteria
Description: bacterial SSU rRNA
Rfam family: Bacterial small subunit ribosomal RNA
Source: RNAcentral